This is a long non-coding RNA of Stomoxys calcitrans (stable fly), 852 nucleotides long. RefSeq lists it as uncharacterized. The record is from RefSeq and is a predicted model, not a curated record. The transcript is spliced from 3 exons. Lineage: Eukaryota; Metazoa; Arthropoda; Insecta; Diptera; Muscidae.
UAUCUAAAAUCGGUGCGGCAAGUUAUAGCAAGUGUAGAGCAUGCGGGGAAGAUGAUGAGACGUUGUUCAUUGCCCGGCUUUCGCGUCUAACAGAUACCGGUACUUAGGUGGGGACACAAUACCAGACAUGAACAAACUUAGGGGCGUGGCAUGGAAACAAGGAAUUUAUGAUCGACGUUUUGCCAACACACACAAAGAAAUUUGUUUGCGUGUGUGUAUGCGUGUCCGUACAUGGGCAGAGAGUAUGCGAGAAAGAAGAUGACAACAAAGAGAAUGCAAACAAAAAUCUGACAUCUUAACACCGUCAAACCUGGCCGGCUGUUAACAAAUGUUCGAGUGAGGCCAAAUUUUUACAUCCGCCUUGAGAAAAAAAGUCUCUUUGGGUUAAACCCCGUUUACACCGCUCAUUAAAUCCGGAUUUAAGGCUCUCGUCAGCUGAUUUUAUAAGAGGAAAAUAGAUGAUCGAGCCAUUAAAUAUGAAAUUAAAGAGCAGUGUAAACGGAUUUCAAAUGCUUUUAUUAGCAUUUGAAAUCCGUUUACACAAAUUUUUACUGGAAGUCGUUCGAGUACUUUAUUUGCCAGCAGAAGAGAGCGCAAAUUUUGACAGCUAGAAAAUAGAGAACCUGGAAAUUUCUACUGCAACUUUUUUUACUAGCUGAAAUUUGUAACUUUGAAAAGAUGUUUUGUAAAGGUCUAUUGUUUUAUGAAAAGCAGCCGUUACAUGAAAAUACAAAAGCUUACGUCAAAAUGGAUCAAAAAGGCUGAGAUUCAUGGCAGCAGCUAGUGUUCAGAUACAGAAGACUCGACAAAUGACGUUGUAAUUUUACCUCAAGUCGGUUGUUCUACAUUAGA